RNAcentral lists this ribosomal RNA (345 nucleotides) under uncultured bacterium. RNAcentral's name for it is "bacterial SSU rRNA". It matches the Rfam family "Bacterial small subunit ribosomal RNA", at positions 572 to 916 of the family's 1533-position model. The record is from RNAcentral.
CAGGCGGUUUGUUAAGCUAGAUGUGAAAGCCCCGGGCUCAACCUGGGAAGGGCAUUUAGAACUGGCAGACUAGAGUCUUGGAGAGGGGAGUGGAAUUCCAGGUGUAGCGGUGAAAUGCGUAGAUAUCUGGAGGAACAUCAGUGGCGAAGGCGACUCCCUGGCCAAAGACUGACGCUCAUGUGCGAAAGUGUGGGUAGCGAACAGGAUUAGAUACCCUGGUAGUCCACACCGUAAACGAUGUCUACUAGCUGUUUGUGGCUUUAAGGCGUGGGUAGCGAAGCUAACGCGAUAAGUAGACCGCCUGGGGAGUACGGCCGCAAGGUUAAAACUCAAAUGAAUUGACGG